CAGAGACACCCAUGGGCCUUUGUGUCCUGGCUUCAGGGCCCUUAUUCCCUAUCCUCUUGCUGACAUGGAAAAACAUAGUUCCAGCCUAGGAUUCUUUUUCUAGAUCAUACCUACAAAUGCCAAAUUUUCAAUUCACAGGUUCUCAAAAGAAGGGAUAGAUGCUGUCUGGUUCAGAGAAAAGGACCUGGUUGAUGUGUUCCUAUUUCUUGCUUCAAAGACCACAUCCCUGGCAUUGUCCAUCAACUGAAUAACAGGCACCAACUAUUGUUAUGGUCUUUACAGAGCACUGUGAGAUUCCAAAGGAUAAACUAGGCUAUGAUCAGAAGGAACUCACAUUCUUGAACAGGUCCAAAGUGGUGCUAUACACUUCAAACAGAUGAUCUCUUUCACAUCUCACCAUGAUCCUUCUAGCUGCUUCUGGCAAGUAAUCUCUUCCCCUUCUAUGAACUCUCACUUCACCCUGAAUAUGGCAUCAAUAUGAUUUAUGUGCUUAGUUCUAUCUCUAAAAUUCCUGAAGACUCCCCAGUCAACUAGGAAAAGAAACAAAGAUCACCUGGAAACUCAACAAAAUACAACCAGGAUCUCUUCAAAAACUCACCAAGCCACAGACAACAGGAAUCUCCUGCUUCGUCUAUAGAGCCUAUGUUUCUCCCAAUCCUGGAACCUCUAGGGUGGGGCUCACUUCCCAGCAUGAUUCUCUCAAAUCAGGCCCAGUGAUAUUUCAUCUGCUGAUUCCAACCUAAUCAAUGCAACAAGUACCAUCUCGGCAUGCUUCACCUCAGACUGUGUACAGAGACAUCAGAUAUGGAUUGCCAGCCCUUCACCCUCAUCACUCUGCCACCAGGUUCCAGAUGCUAGCAGGAUGCGACCAGACUUCCCUGGACAGACAACCCCACCAAUGUGCCUUGGAGCUCCACUUUCCCAGAGCCCUUCCCCACUAGGGAAAGAGAGAGACAGGCUGGGAGUAUGGAUUGACCUGUCAACACCCAUGUUCAGCGGAGAAGCAAUUACAGAAGCCAGACCUUCCACCUUCUGCAGCAGUGAUCUUGGUUCCAUACUCCAAGAGGGUUAAAGAAUAGGAAAGCUAUCAGUGGAG
Long non-coding RNA from Erinaceus europaeus (western European hedgehog), 1096 nucleotides. RefSeq lists it as uncharacterized. The record is from RefSeq and is a predicted model, not a curated record. NCBI's taxonomy places the organism in Eukaryota, Metazoa, Chordata, Mammalia, Eulipotyphla, Erinaceidae. The transcript has 4 exons.